RNAcentral lists this ribosomal RNA (4308 nucleotides) under Triticum aestivum (bread wheat). RNAcentral describes it as "partial small subunit ribosomal RNA". The record is from RNAcentral. Lineage: Eukaryota; Viridiplantae; Streptophyta; Magnoliopsida; Poales; Poaceae.
AUGGAGGCGGUGGAAGACACCAAUCUGGAAGCCGCGAUCGGCUGGCUGACAGAUACCAUCCUCUCGAAUCUCCCAGCCGGCGGCAAGCUGGACUCAUGGAUCGGGCAAGCUGGCCUCGGCAACGACAUCGGGAAGCUCAAGUCUGAGGUGGAGGCGGUGGAGAUGGUGGUUUCUGCUGUGCAGGGGAGGGCGGCCGGGAACAAACCGCUGGCCCGAUCUCUCGCGGCCGUCAAGGAGCUGCUCUACGACGCCGACGAUGUGGUCGACGAGCUGGACUGCUACAGGCUGCAGCAGGAGCUCGAGCCAGAUACACUGCUCGAAACGGAUGGACAUAGAACACAGCAAGUUGAGAGAUCUAGAGAAAAUGCUGAUGUGCAGAGUAGCAGCAAUGGCAAUGGCAGGUUACGUUCCAAGGAAUGGAAUCACUUUGACAUCACACAGUUUGAACAAAACGGAGGGCCUGCCAGAGCAAGAUGUAAGUACUGUGAAACAGAGGUUAUGUGCACAACCAAAAAGGGGACAUCAGUUUUGCGCAAUCAUCUCAAUAGCAAAGGUUGUAGCAAGAAACGUGAAGCAACUGACCCUUCUUCAAGCAUCGUUGAUGCUACUACAAUUCAUGUGCCCGUUGCAACUGGUAAUUCGUCCAACAGAAAAAGGAUGAGAACUGGUCAGGAGUCAACACACAUCAACGCAGCUAACCCAAACGGGUGGAACAAGGAUUCAUUUCCCAAAAGGAUACAAGACAUCACUAGUCAGCUGCAAGGCAAACGAGAGGCUGUCACAAGGAUUCUCAAGAUACUUGGGUCAGAUUCUGGUGGUGCAACCUCAAAUCACUCUCAGCUUAUGGUCACAGAUCCACGCCGAAGAACAUCAAGCCUUGUUCAAGGAAAAGUGUAUGGGAGAGCUGAAGACAAGAGUUACAUCAAAAUGUUGAUAAAAGAAUGCAAAUCAGAUGCUAGUUUGACUGUUCUGCCUAUUGUAGGCAUCGGAGGAGUUGGGAAGACAACUCUCGCUCAGCUUGUAUACAAUGAUCCAGCUUUGAAAAGUCAAUUUGAUCACAAGAUAUGGAUUUGGGUGUCUAACAACUUUGAUGAAAUGAGACUCACAAGACAGAUGUUAGAAUGCGUCUCCCAAGAAUCACAUGAUGGACUAUGUAGCUUUCCCAAUCUUCAGGAGAUCUUGAAGGGUCAUAUUAAAUCGAAGAGGUUUCUACUUGUUUUGGAUGAUGUCUGGAAAGACAUGGAUGAUGGUCGAUGGAACAAAUUAUUGGCUCCUUUCAAUUCUGGUAGUGCAAAUGGCAAUAUGAUAAUUAUGACAACUAGAAAACUUUCUAUUGCAAAGAGGAGAGGAACCAUUAGACCAAUUAACUUAGGUACUUUGGGAAAGGACCAUUUUUGGCAGUUGUUUAAAUCAUGCGCGUUUGGUGACGAGAAUUAUGAAGCGCAAGCAAGUCUAAGUGACUUAGGACAGGAAAUAGCACAAAAGUUAAAAGGGAACCCAUUAGCAGCACAAACUGCCGGGGCACUAUUAAGAGAUCAUCUUACUGUGGAUCAUUGGAGUAACACCCUGAAGACUGAAGCUUGGAAUUCUCUGCAACGCGCUGAUGGCAUCAUGUUUUGUUUGAAGCUUUCCUAUGAUGAGCUGACCUACCCUCUACGACAAUGUUGCUCGUAUUGUUCUAUAUUCCCCUACAACUAUCAGUUUCUUGCUGAGGAGCUAGUUCGUCUUUGGAUUUCACAGGGAUUUGUGAAGUGUGAUCAUUCAAGUAGGAGUUUGGAGGAGAUUGGAUGGUACUACCUGACAGACUUGGUGAACCUCGGCUUGUUUCAGCGGGUUGAAAUAGAAAAACCCUCUAUUGGUAGUCAAACUUACUAUAUUAUGUGUGGCCUGAUGUAUGAUUUUGCAAGGCUAGUUUCAAGAACUGAGUGUGCAACUUUGGAUGGUUUGCAGUGCAAUACAGUUUUGUCAACCGUGCACCAUUUGUCUAUAGUAACUGAUUGUAUAUAUCGGAGGGAUAAUAAGACUGGGAGCAUACGUCGUUGUGAGAAUUUUGAUUUUCUUUCGCAAAAUAUAGUCGCAUCAGUGAGAAAGUUGAGAACAGUGGUGUUAAUUGGGGAAUAUGACUCCUUUUUCUUCAAAGAAUUCCAAGAUGUAUUUGAAAAGGCACAUAACUUGCGUCUGCUGCAAAUGUCUGCAACAUCUGCUGAUUUUAGUUCCUUCAUGCGUAGCUUGGCAAAUCCUACACGUCUUCGGUAUCUAAAACUUCAGAAUGGUCAUACUGAGCAGAAGGCUUUGCCUCAAGUUUUGAACAAGUUUUUCCAUCUUCAAGUAUUGGAUGCUGCUUUCUGUAUGUCAUUGCAUAUGGUUGAUCUAGAGGAUUGCAGUGAGCAGAGAAUACUUCCAUCUCUCGAAAUGCUUCGGUUUCUUAAAAGGUUGAAGUUGUGCAACAUGCGGAGAGUAAGCGAAGUAUUGGUUCCGUCAUUGGAGGAGCUGGUUUUAGAUGGAAUGCCAGAUUUACAGAGAUGUUCAUGUACUUCCGUGGGGGGUAUGAAGUCUAGUUUAAGGGUGUUGGAGAUCCAGAGAUGCCCUGUACUUGACGUGUUCGAUCUGUUUCAGAAAGGUUGUAACUAUGAAACUGAGCAUAAGUCAUGGUUGCCCAGUCUGAGGAAACUCAUUAUGUGCGAUUGUCCUAAUUUGCAAGUACAGACCCCCCUUCCACUUUCAGCCAUAUUUUCUGAACUAUUAAUCAGCAGAGUUUCCACAAUUAUGACAAUGGAGGGAUCUUCCAUGGGAACAUUCAAAAGUAAUGGAAAAAGAAUUUGGGAUAUGCCUUUUGUUCAGACAAUGGCACUUGAUGACAGAAUUUUGGCAUUCCAUAAUCUUAAGGAUAUCAAAUGUUUGGAGAUAUCGUCGUGUGGAAAUUUAACAUCUAUUUCAUUCAAAUGUUUAAGUCAGCUCAUCUCGUUAAAGAGUUUGAAAAUAGUGGACUGCACAAAACUUUUCUCACCAGAUUCUGUGCCAAAGCAUACCCAUGAAGACACGAUAACCGUAAAAGAUGCUGCUCUUCCGGCUCUUGAAAGUCUUGAUAUUAGAGGAUGCAGAAUAAUUGGGAAGUGUCUAUCUCUGAUGCUGCAACAUUCGCCAACCCUGAAGGAUUUGUAUUUAUAUAAUUGCUCGCAGUUGACACAGCAGAGGAUAGAAGAGGAAGGAAAAGUCUCAGCUUCUUGGACAUCAAGAUAUCUAUGCGAUGCUUCAUCAGGAUAUGCAGAUGACACACGGCCAUAUGCAGAUGACACAAGGCCAAGCUCAGCUGUAGAAGAUCUCGUGCACAUUCCGUUGGAUCUCAAAAAGAUAACAAUUUGUGGAUGCCCUCAUCUGAUAGUUGACGGGAGUAGGGAAGGCUUUGCUGGAUUUACCUCCUCCUCACAGGUAGAGAAUGGAAGAUGUCUCCUCCCGCAAUCACUUGAACAUCUUGAUUGGUCUGAUUAUUCCCGAAAAGCUCUGCGGCCCUGCUUUGUGGGUAAUCUCACCUGCCUCAAAAAAAUAAAUUUAAAUAGUGGGAGAAGUUUGGAAUGUCUACAGCUGGAUUCCUGUACGGCCUUGGAAGAUUUGGAAAUUCAGGGUUGCGAUCAGCUCGUCACCAUAGAGGGCUUGCGAUCGCUUGGAAUCCUUAGGUCUUUGAAAUUAUCUUAUAACUCAAGAUUGAAAUCUCUACAGCUGCAUUCCUGCACGUCGCUGGAACGUUUGGAAGUUGGGUCAUGUAGUUCACUCGUCACACUAGAGGGCUUGCAAUCCCUCGUGACCCUCAAGCAUUUGGAAAUAAUCGAUUCCCCUGCCUUGGAUUCCCUUGCCACGUUGCAGAGUUAUGAGCCAAUUGAGGGAAUUUCAAGUCAUAUCCAUGAGUUAUUCCCUGCACUGGAAAGUCUCAAGGUCGAUGACUUGUCUCCCCUUAACACAUCAUUCUGCAAGGGCCUCAUCUGCCUUCGAAGCCUAAAUUUUAUUUCUUUGGAUGCAACCAUACUAACAGAUGAGCAAGAGAGCGUGUUUCUGCUCCUCGGGUCCCUGCAAGAGCUCCAGUUUAUAGAUUCUAGGCACCUCUUAGAUCUUCCUUCGGGGCUGAGCAGCCUCCCUUCCCUCAAGACGUUGAAGAUCAUAGGUUGUAAACGCAUCUUAGGGCUUCCAAAGGAGGGCCUCCCACCUUCGCUGAAACAACUGGUAAUCAAGCAAUGCAGCUUCGAGUUAAAAGAACAAUGCAGAUCGCUAGCAACAAGCAAGCUAGAGGUGUUGACUACGUGGAUUGAUUUCUGA